AUGUGGAAAAGGAUUUUUCCCUAUUUGCGUGUCGAGAAAAGACGUGUUGCAGCCGGGGGUGGUGAUGAGGGGCCAUGGGGGAAAAGGGAUUCAAGAGGCAAAGCCCAGACCAGGGAGUGCGACAGUGGACGUGUGCCUCUCACCUCUGCUCAAAACAACACAAAGACGAACAAAUAUUUUAAAGUACUGAUAAGAAAAAGUGAUACUUUGAUCGUAUUUCCCAAAUACAUAUUCCAACUUGUAUCUGAUUUCCGUUUCCAUGGCCAGUGGGUUUAAGGCCACGGAGUCUGGCCUCCACCCAGAGCAGGGAGGAGCUGGCCCCUCACCCCCCUGGCACACUCGGGAAGCAGGGCCCAGCUCUGAGCCCCUCCUCACCCCCAGGGCCCUAACUUUCCUGAAAGGAGCAGAUGCUUCGUGGAGGGGCAGCUUGGCCAGGGCCCUGAACUGGGCAGGGCUCAGGGCCCACGAGGGCGGGUUCUCUCCUCACCCCAGAGCAGAGUGCAUGGAAGCGACGUCCCUUUUCCUCCCCCAGACACCUUUAUCGCUGCCCCCAAAGCCCUGGCCAAGCUUGCCGGCCUGCUCAAGACACGGAUGGUGGUGGGGCUGGGCCAGAAGCGCUGCGGCCAGGGCAGGCUCUGCCCCCUCGGCCCACCACACGCAGGGGAAGGCCCCUUCAUGGGCCCCCUUUUCCACCAGCCACAUCUGCCUGGCCCUCAGACCCCUCUGCCUGCCCCUACCCCUUAAGAGGGUUUCUGGGCCUUUUCUGUGGACACUUGGUAGAUCAGAGGGCCUGAUGGGCUAAUGCUUGGGGCAUAGAAUAAGGGUCCCCCUGACCACCUGAGCCCACAUCCUGGCCCCAGGUGCAAGGAGCACCUUUCGGGGGCUCUGCCCCAGUAACCCAGGAGAACUCACACCCCUCCUUCUCCCACAGCCAAGGACAGACAGGGCUGUCUGGAACUGAGCCCGACAGCCCUCCACCUCACAAACACCUGGUGGGGGCACACACUCACCGUGUCCUUCCACCCCAAGGCUCCCCUGACCCCACAGGAGCUUCAGGAAAGCCCCCCAAGUUAGCUGAUGCUCUAGGACCAGCUCUGUCACCCACACCAUGGGCCUCAGAAGCAGGGGUGCUGGCGGGUGCCCUACCCCCAAAUCCCCGGUCCCCUUGACCCCCCUGUUUUUUCUUGGGUCUGUUAGGGACUGUUUCUCACCUGCUGGCUGGCCUCCUUGAAGGGCCAUUUCUGGAGGCUCCCUAGGAAGCUGAAGGCUGGGGGGUCAUGUUGUGGUUGGGGAUCCCCACUCCCACCCACGAGCCUACCCUUUGUCUCACACGAGUGCAAUAUUUCAUUCCCGGCGGUCGUCUGGGGAGGUGGUUAGAUGAGGUCCUGCUUGAGGCUCGGGGAUCAGAACAGCGUCCCGUGAGGAAGCGCGUGCGGCCGGGGACACACUGAGCCGCGGGAGCUGGAGGGCAGGCGUUCUGUACCCGAGCAGAGCGCGACCACGGAGGUCCGACCCUUGGCUCCGCCGCUGCGUUCCUGUCCUGCUUCUGCUGGGCUGCGAUUUGUCCCCGGUUUUUCUGUCUUUUCCUUUCUGUGUGUGCGUGAAUGGUGUGACCCCUGCCCCCUCCGUGGUGACCGUGGCGAAGGCACGAUUCCUGUAAAUGUGUAAACUAAGGGGAUGGUUGGAUUUUUUUUUUUUCAAUGUAAACACUAAAAACAGACAAAAAACACACAAAGGUUUUAUGAACAGCAGACUCUAUGUAAAGGCAUUUUAGUAUUAAAUUUUUUAUUGAUAACUUGCUUAAGAAUAAAUAUAUGGACUAUUGGACAGGU
Non-coding RNA from Saimiri boliviensis boliviensis (Bolivian squirrel monkey), 1832 nucleotides. The record is from RefSeq and is a predicted model, not a curated record. Lineage: Eukaryota; Metazoa; Chordata; Mammalia; Primates; Cebidae.